Pteropus vampyrus (large flying fox) is the source of this 133-nucleotide small nucleolar RNA. Its record names the gene SNORA72. It matches the Rfam family "Small nucleolar RNA SNORA72". Rfam says of the family: U72 is a member of the H/ACA class of snoRNAs. Lineage: Eukaryota; Metazoa; Chordata; Mammalia; Chiroptera; Pteropodidae. The record is from Ensembl.
UUGCGAAUAUUCUCGCUGUUCUGAUUUCGUAAUAAUCAGGGCAGGCUAAACAUUCGCUAUAUUAAGAACCAUGCAUGUGUCCCCAGACCUAGUUCUUUUCCUAGGUCUGGUUUUAUAAAUGCUGGUGAUAGAC